GGGCAGCGAGUUUAGUAUUGCAUCUUUUCCAAGCUGCUCAUGCAGAGGAAAGCCAAGCUUGCUUAAUCAUUCCAUCAGCUCGAUCAUGUACAAUAUAUGAUCAGUGACAGAGGCACCAUCCCGUAUUUUGGCGUUGAAGAUGGCACAACUAGUCUUGUGCCUCUCCAUGUCAUCGGGUGUGCUAAAGGCAUGCUCAAACACUUGAAGCAUGUCCUUUGGCUGAGCUGUUUUGAAUCUGUGAUUGAACUUGUCGCUCAUGGCAGCCAGCAUGAUACAACGCACCAUGGUC
Molecule: long non-coding RNA, 289 nt
Filed under: Elaeis guineensis (African oil palm)
Lineage: Eukaryota; Viridiplantae; Streptophyta; Magnoliopsida; Arecales; Arecaceae
Description: long non-coding RNA (EGUI_LNC068197)
Source: RNAcentral